This is an unclassified non-coding RNA of Erinaceus europaeus (western European hedgehog), 304 nucleotides long. Its record names the gene 7SK. It matches the Rfam family "7SK RNA". From Rfam's summary of the family: 7SK was discovered as an abundant small nuclear RNA in the mid-70s but a possible function has only recently been suggested. Two independent studies have found that 7SK RNA binds the CDK9/cyclin T complex (known as elongation factor P-TEFb). P-TEFb activates transcription by phosphorylating the C-terminal domain of RNA polymerase II. The record is from Ensembl. Lineage: Eukaryota; Metazoa; Chordata; Mammalia; Eulipotyphla; Erinaceidae.
GGAUGUGAGGGCGAUCUGGCUGUAACAUCUGUCACCCCAUUGAUCGCCAGGGUUGAUUCGGCUGAUCUGGCUGGCUAGGCAGGUGUCCCCUUCCUCCCUCAUCGCUCCAUGUGCAUCCCUCCCGAAGCUGCACACUCAGUCGAAGAGGACGGCCUUCCCCAAAUAGAGACGGACCGGUCUUCGGUCGAGGGUAUACGAGUAGCUGCGAUCCCCUGCUAGAACCUCCAAACAAGCUCUCAAGGGUAGUCAACAGGCAGAUUUAAAGAUACUUUCACUCUCAGAAGACUAGAAAUGGACCUACUCU